UGAAUUUCAUGACAGAUCGUUGGAGUAACUGGUUUUGUUUUGACAAAGCUUGAUGGUUUUUGCGAGUGGUAGCUGUGUGGUAUGCGUGUUUUUUGUACAACUCUCCUUGGUUCACAUAUUUGAUACUCUGUACAGGUUGCCAUAUAUUUCUGCAUACACAAUCACCUUUUAGUAUUUCAUGUUAAGAAUAUUAAAUAUAUAAAAUAGAUAUUGCUUACAUGUAUAGGUGAAAAUUGUAUGACCACAUGUUUGUUAACAUUUUAUAGGGGUUUGGAUGUGUUUGUUGUGUUCCCUGUGUUUGUACAGGUUGCCAAAGUUAUUUCAUGAUUAUGCUUUUAAAAGAGUUCCCUUCAUUUGACGGGUUCAGUUUCAAUUAGUAUUUAGCCAUAUUUUGGAUCUAUAAUUAACUAAAACAUAUCUUCCUGUGUAGCUCUUUUCUUCUGAUCUUAUGUCUCAAUUAUUUUGUGAAGGACUCACAAAUGAAGUCGGGAAGCAGGCAACUUCAUCCGCUGUUCCUGCAAUGCGUGGAAAUGAGUCUUCCACUCCAGCUGCAGGAGGAAUGGCUAAUGCCGGAUCUAGGGAGAGUAUGCAAUCGCAGCUUUGAAUAAAGUAAAGCAAAUAAUUGAGUAGCUAAUGUGGAAUUUGGUAUCUGACAAAAAAUUAUCAGUUGAUUUGCAAGCCAGAAAUUCACAUAUUUAGACAGAUUAAUACACUUCUAGAAUACUGAAACAUAAAUGAGAUUGAUGUAUUCCAUUACAAAAGAUUAUUAAUCCAUAUGAGAAUUCAGAAUUGAAAUACUGAGAGCAGUUGAUUAUUAUCUGUGUUUGAUAUUUCAUUUUUCUGCAAUAUUUAUAACAUUUAAAUGUUGUAAGCUAUAUAACUUCUUGUUUUUGUGGAAUGUAAUUGACAUUAAGGAACUCAAUUAGGCAAUUGUGACCAACUUAUUAUCUGAAAAGCAAGCCAAUCCAAAGAUAAAAUUAAUUUCUAAUGAAUCACACAACACCAUUACGAAAUACGGAUGUAAUUUAGAAACUAACAUGCAUGUCUUUAAAACAAAAAUAGCUCAACUAUACUAAGCAGUUCCAACUGCUUACUAUGGAAGACAGUACUACAAAUGGUGAUUUUUUGAGUGUAAUGUUUUGUUUUCCUGACAAACUCAGGGUUUCUAUUUAUAUUGCUGUUGCGAUUACUACUUGCUUCAUUAGCUGAUGAUCUUGGCCUUAGUCUUUUGGGAGACGUAACACCACCAGGUGCCAGAAUAGUAGGUGCAGAAGAUUUGUCUCUGGAUGAUACUGCCAUUCGAGGUGCAUGUUUCAUGGAUUCCAGUUCAUUUGACAUUAGGGAGUUGAUUGUCCCAGUGGUUCCAACUUUGAUGGACCCUCCACCACCUUUGAUGGACUCCAAUCUCUAUCAGAGUUCUG
RNAcentral lists this long non-coding RNA (1421 nucleotides) under Panax ginseng (ginseng). Its description in RNAcentral is "long non-coding RNA (PGIN_LNC003408)". The record is from RNAcentral. Lineage: Eukaryota; Viridiplantae; Streptophyta; Magnoliopsida; Apiales; Araliaceae.